GUGAGGGUGUAUGUGGGUAUUUAAGCCCUAAGGGCAUUUUGGUCAUUUGACCCCUAAUUACUAUGUUUGGAAAAUAUGAUUUUUGAGGAAAUGAAAUGUUAAUUUCUGGUGGCUUUCCCCUCUCAACCGAACCCUCUCAUCCUCUCUAACCCUCUUCUUCUUCAAACUUGAUUUUUGAGAAGAAAGCUUGAUUUUUAGCUUGGUUUGGAAGCUUGAUUUGUGUUGGAAGCUUGGAGCUUGUUUGAGCAAGAGAUUGAGGAAAGGGUAGGACUUAUGCUGAUCAGCCAUGAGUGCAGGAGCUGGACAAAGAAUGUACAUGUCCGGGCCAUAUCAGACCAAGCGGGUUAAGGGUCUAUCAGUGAUGAACUUUUGAAUUCUAUUUUGCCGUUUAGGUCGGCUAGAAAUAAAUGACUUGUAAUAGCAUUUGUAAAUAUUUUUGGGAUCCCAACUAUUUUAAAAGUUUAAAUAUAUUACAAGUUUAUUUUCA
Cannabis sativa is the source of this 487-nucleotide long non-coding RNA. RefSeq lists it as uncharacterized. NCBI's taxonomy places the organism in Eukaryota, Viridiplantae, Streptophyta, Magnoliopsida, Rosales, Cannabaceae. The transcript is spliced from 2 exons. The record is from RefSeq and is a predicted model, not a curated record.